UACCCGGGUAUAACGGAUGUUGUAUAUCGACUGAGACUCGUUAACCCUAAUUCGGCUCCCCCAUUGCAACACGACACCAGCCAUUCCUUCUCUGUCGACGAAGCCUAUCAUUCAAUGAUUCAAUCGGUACUCUUCUUACAGUCAAUAAGACGCUGAAAGAUACAAGUGUCAUGUACAGCAUAUUUACCAGCCCUUUCCAUUGAGAAUCUUUGUUGGGUUAUUACAGAAACCUAAGAUUUGGUGAUGGAAAACUUGAAUUUGAUGUUGCCCUCUAGGUGUUUGAUAAAAUGCCCAUGAGAAGUUCUUUUUCAUAUUAAACACUGUGACACGAGAAACUGUAGGUAGACAGUGAAGACAUUAUGAUGUUGGAAGAUUGAAGAGUUUGAACUCCAUCUCAAACUUUUGGGCAUGGAUGUUUGAAAAAUAUUAAUUGCUUCCUUAGAGCUUCGUGUUUGUAAGUUUGGACUCUAAUCAAAAGACGACAAUUUUUAAGUAAUUUUGACUAUUUGAUCACUCAAUUAUAUCUCAACUCUUAAAAAUGUUAUUAUUUUUAUUUAAUUUUGCGGUUGUUUCUCUCAAAA
Molecule: long non-coding RNA, 581 nt
Organism: Lactuca sativa (garden lettuce)
Lineage: Eukaryota; Viridiplantae; Streptophyta; Magnoliopsida; Asterales; Asteraceae
Source: RefSeq, a predicted model, not a curated record